RNAcentral lists this long non-coding RNA (1194 nucleotides) under Homo sapiens (human). RNAcentral describes it as "HSALNT0366824". The record is from RNAcentral. Lineage: Eukaryota; Metazoa; Chordata; Mammalia; Primates; Hominidae.
GCUCAGUGUCCCCACGCGUGACAGGCCGGGCGCGCGGGCGGCCGCAGAGGGGCUGGGCCUUACGUGUCAACUCGGCACUUUCGGUUCUGCGGGGUCGGCCUGAGGCGGACCCCACCCCAUCCCACCCCAGUCCCCAGGCCAGCCCGGAUCCGGGAGGUGGCCGCUGAGGUUUUCCAGCGGGACUGUGGGCCCCUUCCCCACCCCCAGCUGGGCCCGCAGGAUUUUUUACCUCCCUUUUGGCUGAGAGGGGGUGGGUGGGCGUAGGGUGUGGCCCAGGUGAAAGACACAGCAAGUUUUAAAAAGAAAUUCAUACUCUGAACACCAGACAGGAGAUCCUAGAGGAGAUUUAGAAUCACUUUUUCUGUGCAAAGAGCUUGAGAGAAGAGCAAGUGUGGGCGCUGUGAUGAUGAAGAUGAAAUGGCGAAGGCAGCGUCCCCCGGCCUCCGGGAAAGUCGCUCCCUGAGGCCGGGGCGGUGGGCGCACCCCGGCCUGAGAGGCCUCUCGCCCCGCUCCUCGCCUGUGAAGCCCACGCUCCCGGAGUCCCCCAAACACGCCCCCAAACCCACAUUUCCCCAGUUCUUCCCCGUCCCAGGCCCCCGCGCCGGGCGGCCGGGGUUGCGAUGGGGGCACGUUGCCGAGCGGGGGUGAGGGCAGAGGGGACCCACGCGGGCGGCCGUGGUGCGGGGCCCGGGCUGCGCGCCGCCGUGGCCCUCCCCAGGCGCCGGCGAGCCGGGCGGGCUUUCGAAAUGCGCGGGGCUGCGGAUCAUUGGAGCCCAGGGUAGGGGUGGGAGCGGGCUGCAGCGCCGGAGGGUCGGCGAACUCGGGAAGGCUCUCCCCUUAGCUCCGAUAUCCCCACGGCCGGGGAGGCGGCCGGUUACUCAGGUGGAGAGUCCGUUUGCGGAGAGGAGUGGGAGCUUUCGCUGCUUUCUCAGCGCAGAGGAGAGGAGGAGGGAGGAAAGUUUCUGAGAAACCGCCCAGCCCGGCUGCGCGGCGGAGGCGCGGCCGCCCGGGCGCGGGAACUGCGCGCGACGACGGCGACAGUGCGGGGGGCUGCACGUUACAGAUGAGGGAGCAACACUUGAUGGCCUUCUCGUCCCGAGGCACCAGCCAGCCCGACCCCGCAACUGCCGCGGCGGGCGGGCGCGGAACUGCGGGGAAGCCGAAGAGUCCAACCUGCUCAAAAAAAAAAAAAAA